Molecule: long non-coding RNA, 274 nt
Organism: Panthera uncia (snow leopard)
Lineage: Eukaryota; Metazoa; Chordata; Mammalia; Carnivora; Felidae
Exons: 2
Source: RefSeq, a predicted model, not a curated record
CAGGAUGGAUCUUCCGGAGGGCCCCGCACCUAUUUACACAUUCCUUCUGCUUCCAGGCCAGCGGAAGACUGCAUUGUGGGUAAUCCUGGCUGCCCCGAACCUUCACCUCCUUGCCUUGAUUAAACCACCUGCUUAAAGCCCUGGCUACAUCGGAGGCGCUGAGACCUCUGAAGAAGUCUGAAUCAGGGCAUGAGUUGGAGGAGCGAGCGGCCAUCCCCUCUGCCACUUCCCUCCAUCUUGUUUCCUACUGGAAUUAAAGGAGUUAAUUUACGAA